UCACAGGCUUCUCUCGAAGCCAAGCUUACUCCGUUAACGGAGUCCU
This is a non-coding RNA of Drosophila mojavensis, 46 nucleotides long. NCBI's taxonomy places the organism in Eukaryota, Metazoa, Arthropoda, Insecta, Diptera, Drosophilidae. The record is from Rfam.